GAUGAACGCUGGCGGCGUGCCUAAUACAUGCAAGUCGAGCGAACAGAUGAGGAGCUUGCUCCUCUGACGUUAGCGGCGGACGGGUGAGUAACACGUGGAUAACCUACCUAUAAGACUGGGAUAACUUCGGGAAACCGGAGCUAAUACCGGAUAAUAUAUUGAACCGCAUGGUUCAAUAGUGAAAGACGGUUUUGCUGUCACUUAUAGAUGGAUCCGCGCCGCAUUAGCUAGUUGGUAAGGUAACGGCUUACCAAGGCAACGAUGCGUAGCCGACCUGAGAGGGUGAUCGGCCACACUGGAACUGAGACACGGUCCAGACUCCUACGGGAGGCAGCAGUAGGGAAUCUUCCGCAAAGGGCGAGAGCCUGACGGAGCAACGCCGCGUGAGUGAUGAAGGUCUUCGGAUCGUAAAACUCUGUUAUUAGGGAAGAACAAAUGUGUAAGUAACUAUGCACGUCUUGACGGUACCUAAUCAGAAAGCCACGGCUAACUACGUG
Molecule: ribosomal RNA, 497 nt
Filed under: uncultured bacterium
Lineage: Bacteria
Description: partial 16S ribosomal RNA
Rfam family: Bacterial small subunit ribosomal RNA
Source: RNAcentral